CCUUUUUCAGAAGCAAACCUCAGUUAGAAAAAACACAAGUGAAAAAGAUGUGAUCUUUACAGUCCAAAGAUCAAUGCAAGAACAAAACCCCCCAAAUUUGUCUACAUCAAUCAUGAGUAAUUCACCAAAUUACAUAAAAACCCACCAGAAUAGAACAAUCACAGAGUCAUUUCUUACAUGGGUCCGGCCAAAUUUUGAUUAAAGACUGGUUCUUGUAAUUGGGAAUAGAGAAGGGGAAGAAGAAGAAGAAGAAGAAGAAGAAGGUGAGAAGAAAGAAGAAGAAGAAGAAGAAGAAGAAGAAGAAGAAGAAGAAGAAGAAGAAGAAGAAGAAGAAGAAGAAGAAGAAGAAGAAGAAGAAGAAGAAGAAGAAGAAGAAGAAGAAGAAGAAGAAGAAGAAGAAGAAGAAGAAGGUGAGAAGAGAUUCUUGUUCUUUACCUUCUGGGAUUCCACGUGCAGUAAAUGAUCGUGACAAUACACAGAGCAACUAGUGCAAAACUAAAUUGAAGUAAGAAAAAACAAGAAGAAUGGAGACUGGAGAAAAUUGUUGGCUCCUUUUAGUUUUUUCUGUGAAUUUGAUGAAGUGGGAGUAGAUGGAUGAAAUUAGAGAAGAAAACACUUUGAAAAGAGGAAGAAAA
RNAcentral lists this long non-coding RNA (635 nucleotides) under Linum usitatissimum (flax). Its description in RNAcentral is "long non-coding RNA (LUSI_LNC006378)". Lineage: Eukaryota; Viridiplantae; Streptophyta; Magnoliopsida; Malpighiales; Linaceae. The record is from RNAcentral.